GCCGAAGUGGCGGAAUGGUAGACGCGCAUGGUUCAGGACCAUGUCCCGAUUUUCGGGGUGGAGGUUCAAGUCCUCUCUUCGGCACAA
Molecule: transfer RNA, 87 nt
Filed under: Candidatus Magasanikbacteria bacterium CG10_big_fil_rev_8_21_14_0_10_40_10
Lineage: Bacteria; Candidatus Magasanikiibacteriota
Description: tRNA-Leu
Rfam family: tRNA
About the family: Transfer RNA (tRNA) molecules are approximately 80 nucleotides in length. Their secondary structure includes four short double-helical elements and three loops (D, anti-codon, and T loops). Further hydrogen bonds mediate the characteristic L-shaped molecular structure. tRNAs have two regions of fundamental functional importance: the anti-codon, which is responsible for specific mRNA codon recognition, and the 3' end, to which the tRNAs corresponding amino acid is attached (by aminoacyl-tRNA synthetases). tRNAs cope with the degeneracy of the genetic code in two manners: having more than one tRNA (with a specific anti-codon) for a particular amino acid; and 'wobble' base-pairing, i.e. permitting non-standard base-pairing at the 3rd anti-codon position.
Source: RNAcentral